This 72-nucleotide transfer RNA is filed under the name Camelus bactrianus (Bactrian camel). It matches the Rfam family "tRNA". Rfam says of the family: Transfer RNA (tRNA) molecules are approximately 80 nucleotides in length. RNAcentral also lists the same sequence under 2 other names. Lineage: Eukaryota; Metazoa; Chordata; Mammalia; Artiodactyla; Camelidae. The record is from Rfam by way of RNAcentral.
GAGGGUAUAGCUCAGUGGUAGAGCACGUGCUUAGCAUGCACAAGGUCCUGGGUUCAAUCACUAGUACAUCCA